Long non-coding RNA from Sphaeramia orbicularis (orbiculate cardinalfish), 2104 nucleotides. RefSeq lists it as uncharacterized. The record is from RefSeq and is a predicted model, not a curated record. Lineage: Eukaryota; Metazoa; Chordata; Actinopteri; Kurtiformes; Apogonidae. The transcript is spliced from 2 exons.
UAUAUAUAUAUAUAUAUAUAUAUGCACCCAUUUAUGAAAGAUAGGAGGUGAAUUAAAGGUGCAAGGGCUCAAAUUGACUUGAUCUAAAUGUUUUCUAAUUCAGUGGAUGAUUCACAGUGACAGAACCAUUACAUUGACUUAAUUAAUCAAAGCAAAAGAUCACCAUUCUAUUAGUGCAAAGUCAGAGACCGUAGUUUAACAUUGGCAGUUUGAUUUAGCAGCCUCCCACUGAAUUAUACUUUAUACACUUUUUUUUUUUUUUUUACAUUGACAAACCUAUUAUUCUAUUUUAGUAUUUUUCUCCUGUCCUUAAGUCAUGCGUAAGAGCAGUCCUUAGGGAAAUCAGUGAUUUUUUUUUUAUAUAUAUAUGAGGACAUCUUUGAAAAAAAACAAAACAUUUGAACCUUGUUGCCUACAAGUGACCAAAGAGGGACACAAUGGACUGAAUCCAAAUCUUUUUAUUGUAUCCAUAAAUGUCAGCAUUUCAUCUCAUUGGAAUUAAAGAACCAAUGUUUUGUUGCCAUUCCUGCCAAAGUUAUAACCAGGGUUUUGAAGAACAGUGUUUUUGAUAAGUUGUUUUUUUUCCCUCCCUGUGGUACAUUAAGUAAUUAAUUGAUUUCCACAAGUAAUUUCUUUUUUCUACUUAUUCUCUCAUCGAUACAUCAGACUGUAAUAUUACACUUUAUAAAUAUAUAUAUGUAAUGUGUGUGUGUGUGUACAGUGUUAGUGACUGACUUCCUCCAUCUUUGUCUGCAUUGAAGGUCUACUAAAGCAUGAAUGCAGUUAAAAUACAUAUCACAUGCAAUACACUAAUUUAGUACCAAUACUGUAUAUUGUCCCAUGAAACUUUUUUUUCAUUCUCUUCAUUGAAGUUUUAUUGUAUGUCAUCAGACUCAGAACGAGAUACUCAGCAGCUUUUGGUUCAUCCUUUGUUGCAAACACUUUAUCUAGUUUCACACUGGAAUAAGCUGCAUAUGGUCUCAGACUGGUUUGAAACUGGUUUAUUGUCAAUGAUGAACCAAGCAAGAGACAAUAGUUUUUAUUAAUGUAUAUGCAAUCACCUUAUAAGAAGACUUUCUAUUUUUCAGGUACACUUUUCAAGUAUGUUUUCUUCAACACUAAAAUGAAUGCAUGUGUUUGAAAUUGUAUUAAUUAUUGAUUAAUAUUAGUCCUGUUUUAAUCCAUCUCAAUUGGAUUAAGACCGUGUCAAAGAGAUUUUUCUUUGUUAACAAUCCUGUGAUUUUGAUUUUACCGAUUUUAUAUAAUCAACUUUGUGCAGUUGGAGUUUUCAUUCCAAAAUAAAAUAUUUCCAUACAUAUAGACUAAAUCCCCACUAAUGCAUUUUCUUCUUUCAACACAUUUUAAAAUGAUUUUCAUCAGCACUAGCAUUUUGGCUAAGUUUCUUCAGUAAUUCAAACGUAUAUCCCAUGACAAAGGAAGCUGAUAAUGUGCUGUUGCUGUGAAUGUAGUCAGAUUGUGAUAACAAAAGGAAUAUACUUGAACAAACGCUGCAGAGACAAGAACAAAAUCACCUGUAAUUCUGUGCCCAUGUUGAAUUAACAGCUGGUGGUGUCUGGUUUUCUUGGAUACGGAGUUACUGUCAGGACCAAUCAGGCAGAGAAUGUACCCAUCCCACUUCUAAACUCACUACACUGAAAAACACUACAAUGCAUCAUCACAGUUUACAAACUAAACCAGGGUCAGCUGUGUGUGUGUAAAACUCCACAUUGAAGGGGUUAAAACAUUGGUGUCAUGUAGACACUGGGUGUGAACGCAUUAUAAAGGAACAUGUUUUAAACAUGUACUUACAUAAAAAGUAUUACUGUGAGUAACUUCAGAAAACAUAGAUUUGCUUUAACAUAAUUUCUGCUGAAAAAGUUGUAAUGCAAUAGAAAACCUGGACUAUGACUGAAUGUCAACAGUUGGAACUAAUUCUCCUUUCAAAUACUAUUUUGGAAUGAAACCUUUCAAUACACUACAUCACUGUGGUACAUUUAGUAAAUGUAAUAUGACAAAUCCGUGUUUUCCAGAAACUGUACUUGGGACCUACCAGCAGAACAGUUUUUCAUUUGUCUGUUUCUUGGAUUAAAAAUAGAUUACAAAU